AGAAAGUGCAAUUACACAAUGAAAAGGGGCAAGCACACUGCAUAAAGAUGUAGAUGAGCUAAAGCUACAUGGAAGAGAUGGGACAGCAUGCCAUGGGGGGAGCAGCCCAGCAGGGGAGCCAGGCAGCUGUCUCCUGACUACUUUCUUGACUGGAAAACAUGGGAUGCCUCAGAAUGCUCCAUAUCUUUGUAAGAUGCUUAUUUUGCCUGCAAAAGAAAGUCAUGUGUCUGGAAUAAUAACAUGAAAUGAUAUGAGCAGUGGAGAUUCAAGAAAUUACUCUUCAAAAAAAGUCUAUAGACAUGGUCUCAGGAAAGCUAAAUGCCAAGCAUUAGCAUGAAGAGGCUUCAGGAAAGGUGGGACCAGACAUUCAAAGAAUGUUAAGAAUUGGAUGGAAUGGUGAUAAUUUUAGCACUGAUGCUUAUUUGGAGUGAGGAAGAAAAACAUCUUAAGACAUCACUUGCUGCAAAAUAUUUGCCUCAUGACAGAUGGUUCCCCGAGGAUGACUUCAAAUUCUGAAAAUAAAAUGCAGCAGACCAGAUCGUAACGUCAGAAUUCAUUUUGGCAACUCUUGGAAAAGAAGAUUCAUUGUUUUGGUUGGUUUGUAAAGCUCUAAUGGUAAACUUCUGUUGUUUUCUAAAGAAAAGGUGGGCCCUUAGAGCACAUAAUAAAUAGUAACAUCGAUUUCACCUUGAAAAUUGCUACAAAAGUAGUUUGACCCUCUGGACUGGGAGAGUGAUUUGGAAGAAAUGAAAAUUCCAAGACUCUGGAAUUUUUGACACUUCAAGAAUGUGAGGUGUACAUUCAUUCCACUUCUCUAGGCCGGACAUUCCUUGGAAACUUCCCCUGGAAUAUCCUGGGGAAAAACCUCAGACUUUAAGACAGAACCCCUAGCUCAUUUUCUCAUCGUCUACUUCCGUCCCGGUGCACGCUUCUCUC
This 936-nucleotide long non-coding RNA is filed under the name Equus caballus (horse). Its description in RNAcentral is "lncRNA (ENSECAG00000042712.2)". The record is from RNAcentral. Lineage: Eukaryota; Metazoa; Chordata; Mammalia; Perissodactyla; Equidae.